UAAAUACUAAUACCAGAUCGAUAGUGCACAAGUACCGUGAGGGAAAGGUGAAAAGAACUGAGGUGAUCAGAGUGAAAUAGAACCUGAAACCAUUUGCUUACAAUCAUUCAGAGCCCUAUGUAGCAAUACAGGGUGAUGGACUGCCUUUUGCAUAAUGAGCCUGCGAGUUGUGGUGUCUGGCAAGGUUAAGCAAACGCGAAGCCGUAGCGAAAGCGAGUCUGAAUAGGGCGCUUAGUCAGAUGCUGCAGACCCGAAACGAAGUGAUCUAUCCAUGAGCAAGUUGAAGCUAGUGUAAGAACUAGUGGAGGACUGAACCCAUAGGCGUUGAAAAGCCCCGGGAUGACUUGUGGAUAGGGGUGAAAGGCCAAUCAAACUUCGUGAUAGCUGGUUCUCUCCGAAAUAUAUUUAGGUAUAGCGUUGUGUCGUAAUAUAAGGGGGUAGAGCACUGAAUGGGCUAGGGCAUACACCAAUGUACCAAACCCUAUCAAACUCCGAAUACCUUAUAUGUAAUCACAGCAGUCAGGCGGCGAGUGAUAAAAUCCGUCGUCAAGAGGGAAACAACCCAGACUACCAGCUAAGGUCCCUAAAUCUUACUUAAGUGGAAAACGAUGUGAAGUUACUUAAACAACCAGGAGGUUGGCUUAGAAGCAGCCAUCCUUUAAAGAAAGCGUAAUAGCUCACUGGUCUAGUGAUUUUGCGCGGAAAAUAUAACGGGGCUAAAGUAAGUACCGAAGCUGUAGACUUAGUUUACUAAGUGGUAGGAGAGCGUUCUAUUUGCGUCGAAGGUAUACCGGUAAGGAGUGCUGGAGCGAAUAGAAGUGAGCAUGCAGGCAUGAGUAGCGAUAAUUAAUGUGAGAAUCAUUAACGCCGUAAACCCAAGGUUUCCUACGCGAUGCUCGUCAUCGUAGGGUUAGUCGGGUCCUAAGUCGAGUCCGAAAGGGGUAGACGAUGGCAAAUUGGUUAAUAUUCCAAUACCAACAUUAGUGUGCGAUGGAAGGACGCUUAGGGCUAAGGGGGCUAGCGGAUGGAAGUGCUAGUCUAAGGUCGUAGGAGGUUAUACAGGCAAAUCCGUAUAACAAUACUCCGAGAACUGAAAGGCUUUUUGAAGUCUUCGGAUGGAUAGAAGAACCCCUGAUGCCGUCG
This 1143-nucleotide ribosomal RNA is filed under the name Campylobacter jejuni. Its description in RNAcentral is "partial 23S ribosomal RNA". It matches the Rfam family "Bacterial large subunit ribosomal RNA", at positions 467 to 1610 of the family's 2925-position model. The record is from RNAcentral. Lineage: Bacteria; Pseudomonadati; Campylobacterota; Epsilonproteobacteria; Campylobacterales; Campylobacteraceae.